This 898-nucleotide ribosomal RNA is filed under the name Bacillus zhangzhouensis. Its description in RNAcentral is "bacterial SSU rRNA". It matches the Rfam family "Bacterial small subunit ribosomal RNA", at positions 56 to 931 of the family's 1533-position model. Lineage: Bacteria; Bacillati; Bacillota; Bacilli; Caryophanales; Bacillaceae. The record is from RNAcentral.
UGCAGUCGAGCGGACAGAAGGGAGCUUGCUCCCGGAUGUUAGCGGCGGACGGGUGAGUAACACGUGGGUAACCUGCCUGUAAGACUGGGAUAACUCCGGGAAACCGGAGCUAAUACCGGAUAGUUCCUUGAACCGCAUGGUUCAAGGAUGAAAGACGGUUUCGGCUGUCACUUACAGAUGGACCCGCGGCGCAUUAGCUAGUUGGUGGGGUAAUGGCUCACCAAGGCGACGAUGCGUAGCCGACCUGAGAGGGUGAUCGGCCACACUGGGACUGAGACACGGCCCAGACUCCUACGGGAGGCAGCAGUAGGGAAUCUUCCGCAAUGGACGAAAGUCUGACGGAGCAACGCCGCGUGAGUGAUGAAGGUUUUCGGAUCGUAAAGCUCUGUUGUUAGGGAAGAACAAGUGCGAGAGUAACUGCUCGCACCUUGACGGUACCUAACCAGAAAGCCACGGCUAACUACGUGCCAGCAGCCGCGGUAAUACGUAGGUGGCAAGCGUUGUCCGGAAUUAUUGGGCGUAAAGGGCUCGCAGGCGGUUUCUUAAGUCUGAUGUGAAAGCCCCCGGCUCAACCGGGGAGGGUCAUUGGAAACUGGGAAACUUGAGUGCAGAAGAGGAGAGUGGAAUUCCACGUGUAGCGGUGAAAUGCGUAGAGAUGUGGAGGAACACCAGUGGCGAAGGCGACUCUCUGGUCUGUAACUGACGCUGAGGAGCGAAAGCGUGGGGAGCGAACAGGAUUAGAUACCCUGGUAGUCCACGCCGUAAACGAUGAGUGCUAAGUGUUAGGGGGUUUCCGCCCCUUAGUGCUGCAGCUAACGCAUUAAGCACUCCGCCUGGGGGAGUACGGUCGCCAAGACUGGAAACUCCAAAGGAAUUUGACGGGGGGCCCGCACAAAGC